This 301-nucleotide ribosomal RNA is filed under the name uncultured bacterium. RNAcentral's name for it is "partial 16S ribosomal RNA". It matches the Rfam family "Bacterial small subunit ribosomal RNA", at positions 509 to 807 of the family's 1533-position model. The record is from RNAcentral.
CAGCCGCCACGGGAAUACGAAGGGGGCUAGCGUUGCUCGGAAUCACUGGGCGUAAAGGGCGCGUAGGCGGCGUUUUAAGUCGGGGGUGAAAGCCUGUGGCUCAACCACAGAAUGGCCUUCGAUACUGGGACGCUUGAGUAUGGUAGAGGUUGGUGGAACUGCGAGUGUAGAGGUGAAAUUCGUAGAUAUUCGCAAGAACACCGGUGGCGAAGGCGGCCAACUGGACCAUUACUGACGCUGAGGCGCGAAAGCGUGGGGAGCAAACAGGAUUAGAUACCCCGGUAGUCCCUGUCUCUUAUAC